Molecule: transfer RNA, 64 nt
Filed under: Ixodes scapularis (black-legged tick)
Lineage: Eukaryota; Metazoa; Arthropoda; Arachnida; Ixodida; Ixodidae
Description: tRNA-Met
Source: RNAcentral
UAUAAAGUAAGCUAAUUUAAGCUAGUGGGUUCAUACCCCAAAUAUGAAUAGAUUUCCUUUAUUA